Molecule: long non-coding RNA, 1311 nt
Organism: Cyprinus carpio (common carp)
Lineage: Eukaryota; Metazoa; Chordata; Actinopteri; Cypriniformes; Cyprinidae
Source: Ensembl
CACAGAACAAAUACUAGCAUUGUGCUACCGUUAAGAGAAGGCAGUUCACAUACUUCCUGUUACUGACGGCCUUGGCAUGACCAAUAUUUACAGAAAUGUUAUGGGUUAGACAGCACACAAUUAAACUUGUCAUAACACAACUCAUCCAAGAAAAAGAUGCGAGGAGAGAUGAGAGGAUGAUGUCAGCUGGCAGACAGAGAGGGGAGAGGAGAGGAAGAGAGACAGACCGCAGACCGCAUGGAAGAAAAUCAAAACUCCCUCAGGUAAGCUACUUACCCUGUCUCAAGAGCCUCUUACACAAAUCUCCAUAAGGAUGAGAGAGAGGCAGAGGGGGAUCAUAUCUCAUCAGCAUGUGCUUCUUGGUGUGUCUUGUUAUCACUGAGCGCUGAUUCUGUGUGACGAUGUUAAACAGCAUGAUCACUGACCCAGUACUACUGUAGGGAUCAAAAUGUCAUCCUGUGUAUGCGGUCACGGUAAUUGUGUGGCUGCCCUCUGGGGCGACUGAUCGGAGAGAGAGAAAGAGAGACAAAUACAGCAGUUCAGACUUCACAAUCACGAUUCCCAAGAGCAUUGCACACAGUUUUUCAAUACAACUUCUCGCCCACAUGUAACUUCUUGCAUGCAUCUGUGGAUGGAUGAAUUGGAAAAGUAUAAACAAAUGAAGUGAAAAAGAGCCACAAAGAAUGAGAGAGGAAAGGAAUGAUGGGCCUUCUCCAAACAGAAAGGUGCUUUGAUAGAGGAGCAUCUCUGUGCUGAAACACUUUGCACCCAUCUCUCUUUCUCUCUCUCUCUCCCUCGCUCACACUCUUUCUGUAACUUAAAGAAUGCUCGCCAGUGCUGGAUUAAUUAAACUCUAAACAUUAAAUAUUGAUUGAUGCAUUAUCAGCACCUCCCAGUUGCUUCCGCCGAGAUUGAUUUCCGACGUGAUUUAUUGUCAUAUUUGUAGAGUCAUUUCACUUGAUAACAAAGAGGAAUUGCUGCUCACAACCUCAGACCACCCCCCGUUUCUACUUCCUCUGUCUCCCCCCCAAACCACCAGCCUCUCUGCUCACUUUUCCCUCUGCUUCUCUCCCUUUCUCUCUCUCUCUCCAUUUGUUAGGUGUAAGAUAUGUCUGCACACAGCCUGUGUAUAUUAUCAUUAUUCAAAUUGAAAUGAUAAAACAGCCCAUGACUGAUGUUUUUCAUCUUUGUCCUGCUUGCCUAUCAUCCCGCUCUGAAUGAAUCCAUAGUGAAAAUGGCUGGUUAAAUCAGCAGCUAUAAUUCAUGAAACAGAAUCUUCACCUUUUGUUCAGUUUAAAUCCUCAAUGGUUU